AGUGUCUUUUUCCCAUUGAGUCCUUCUAAUUUCAUAUCUUUGUUUUUGGUGACCCAAUGAAUUUAAUUGGGGUUGCUUACAGGAACAUGGGUUAGGAUUUGUUUAAGGAAACAGGAGCAAUUUGCCCAUGAGUAGUACAUAACUAAAAGACAUCUCAAACCCCCAGCCAUUAACUGCCUAUCAAUCCUCAGGGAUGGGCAGGGCCUCAUGAGCCCCUCCCCCCAGGAACUACUAACUGCCUAUAAAUCCUUAAGAAUAGGUGGGGCCUCAUAACCCUCUUAUCUUAACAAUUAUUGACUGCCUUAACAAUCCUCAGAAGGAUGGAGACUUGUGAACCCCUUUCCCCUCCCAUUUGCAUCGAUUAACUGCCUAUGAAUCUUCAGGGAGAGGUAGGAUCUGGUGGUAUAUGAAAUGCUGUACUUCAUAAUAUGCUUACUUGGCACAAGAACUAGUUUGACAGAAACCAGCUGCUUUUGGAGAAUAAAGCACAAUGAAGAUGAUGAUGGAGAUUUACAGGCUGACUGUGCUUUUUACCUUUUUACGCUUCCGUCACCUUUGGAAGAAGGUUUUUGUAAAACUGUCCUGGAUUUUAGGUAAGCUGUUAGCUUCUUCAUUUUCUGGAUAAAUAUCAUAAAUUAGAAACCUGAGACUGUGGAGCGAAACUUUGAGGGUUUCUAUCAUGUAACUUCCCUUUGCAACAUUAGGGAGUAUAGAAAUGUUUCUACAUUUUUAAUUAUUUUACUAUUUCCAAAUGCAUUUCACUGUGUGCCGUUCUUAUAUUAGACUCCCAGUCACUAAGGUGUAAGGCAAGAUAUAAUUUUCUUUUUCCUAUAUCCUUCUGAUAUCCUAUGUUUUGUUGCACAGUGUCUCAUGAUCUAACAUGAAAACACAGUUCAAACCACCAGCAUGAGUUCACAAGGAAAAGUCCGUAUCACAGUACCUUUUCAAGUGACUGCCAAGGAGUUUUACACCAACAUAUGGUCAUUAAUGACCUCCAUAAAGAGGUUACUUAUUUUUGGUCUCUAACAAUAGGGAAUAUUGGG
RNAcentral lists this small RNA (1043 nucleotides) under Rattus norvegicus (Norway rat). RNAcentral describes it as "uncharacterized LOC108351412". Lineage: Eukaryota; Metazoa; Chordata; Mammalia; Rodentia; Muridae. The record is from RNAcentral.